UACGGAGGGUGCAAGCGUUAUCCGGAUUCACUGGGGUUAAAGGGUGCGUAGGAGGGUUGGUAAGUCAGUGUUGAAAUCUCCGAGCUUAACUUGGAAACUGCCGUUGAUACUAUCAAUCUUGAAUAUCGUGGAGGUGAGCGGAAUAUGUCAUGUAGCGGUGAAAUGCUUAGAUAUGACAUAGAACACCAAUUGCGAAGGCAGCUGGCUACACAUAUAUUGACACUGAGGCACGAAAGCGUGGGGAUCAAACAGG
This 253-nucleotide ribosomal RNA is filed under the name uncultured bacterium. RNAcentral's name for it is "partial 16S ribosomal RNA". It matches the Rfam family "Bacterial small subunit ribosomal RNA", at positions 524 to 776 of the family's 1533-position model. The record is from RNAcentral.